This is a small nucleolar RNA of Onychomys torridus (southern grasshopper mouse), 128 nucleotides long. RefSeq annotates it as small nucleolar RNA SNORA72. The transcript has a single exon. The record is from RefSeq and is a predicted model, not a curated record. NCBI's taxonomy places the organism in Eukaryota, Metazoa, Chordata, Mammalia, Rodentia, Cricetidae.
CAGAACUCUUAAACCCUGCUCUGUUUCUGCAAUGAUGAGGACAGGCUGAAUGUCUACUAGCCAAGACCACAGGCGUGCCCACGCCAAGUUCUUUCCCCAGGUCUGGGUUUCAAAUGCUGGUGACAAAA